This 288-nucleotide non-coding RNA is filed under the name Candidatus Omnitrophota bacterium. Lineage: Bacteria; Pseudomonadati; Candidatus Omnitrophota. The record is from RNAcentral.
GUUACAAUGUGUUUAACAGGUGCUCAAUAAAUCAUUGAGCUAAAAAGGGAAGGCCGUUAAAAUCGGCCGCGGUCCCGCCGCUGUAACUGUGCUGAUCUUCCAAUGAAAUUUUAUAGGAUGAUCAGUACGGCCAUGACUUCCUGAUAGAUAAACGAUUGGUUGUUUAAUAGAAAGUCAUGGCUGGGGACAAAUCUUGCAAACCACUGAGGAAUCGGUAACGAGGACUUGGGAAGGGCAAGAGGAGAAUGAUCCAGAAGCCAGAAGACCUACCUGUAUGAGUUCGUUUUA